RNAcentral lists this transfer RNA (66 nucleotides) under Mylabris calida. RNAcentral's name for it is "tRNA-Asp". Lineage: Eukaryota; Metazoa; Arthropoda; Insecta; Coleoptera; Meloidae. RNAcentral also lists the same sequence under 1 other name. The record is from RNAcentral.
AAAAAUUUAGUUAAUUUUAUAACAUUAGUUUGUCAAGCUAAAGUAAUUACUAAGUAUUAAUUUUUA